Molecule: unclassified non-coding RNA, 381 nt
Filed under: soil metagenome
Description: partial contains 5.8S ribosomal RNA, internal transcribed spacer 2, and large subunit ribosomal RNA
Rfam family: 5.8S ribosomal RNA (bases 1-120)
Source: RNAcentral
GAUGAAGAACGUAGCUAAAUGCGAUAAGUAAUGUGAAUUGCAGAAUUCAGUGAAUCAUCGAAUCUUUGAACGCACAUUGCGCCCCUUGGCAUUCCUUGGGGCAUGCCUGUUCGAGCGUCACUGCAAACCCACUCAUAAAUAUUAUGGUAUUGAUGGAAGUGAACGGAACCAAUCUAUGUGUUCAGGUCAUCCCAUCGAAAUGUAUAAGCAGGACAAUCAACCUGUGCAAUGGACUUAGUAACUGUCUUGAAGACAUAAACCAGUUUGUUGCUUGGUUUUGACUUAGCUUCCAUGGACCUCCAUCCAAGAUAAUAAACUCUGGGUUGACCUCGGAUCAGGUAGGGAUACCCGCUGAACUUAAGCAUAUCAAUAAGCGGAGGA